This 442-nucleotide ribosomal RNA is filed under the name uncultured bacterium. RNAcentral's name for it is "partial 16S ribosomal RNA". It matches the Rfam family "Bacterial small subunit ribosomal RNA", at positions 338 to 795 of the family's 1533-position model. The record is from RNAcentral.
CCUACGGGUGGCAGCAGUGGGGAAUAUUGGGCAAUGGACGCAAGUCUGACCCAGCAACGCCGCGUGAAGGAAGAAGGCUCUCGGGUUGUUAACUUCUUUUAAGGGGGAAGAGCAGAAGACGGUACCCCUUGAAUAAGCCACGGCUAACUACGUGCCAGCAGCCGCGGCAAUACGUAGGUGGCAAGCGUUGUCCGGAUUUACUGGGUGUAAAGGGCGUGCAGCCGGAGAGACAAGUCAGAUGUGAAAUCCACGGGCGCAACCCGUGAACUGCAUUUGAAACUGGUUCCCUGGAGUGUCGGAGAGGUAAUCGGAAUUCGUGGUGUAGCGGUGAAAUGCGUAGAUAUAAGGAAGAACACCGGUGGCGAAGGCAGAUUACUGGACGAUAACUGACGGUGAGGCGCGAAAGCGUGGGGAGCAAACAGGAUUAGAUACCCCAGUAGUC